ACGGUUAAUGUGUAAACGAAGAGGCUAGCUCUUCUGUAUCAAAAAUAAAACACAUAAAUUGGUUGCUGCAACGUUUUUUCGAUGGCGACAGUGGAACCCAAACUCAUCCUUUUAUUUAGUGGGAAACGCAAAUCUGGAAAAUAUUACGUGACGGAUUUGAUUCACAAAAGACUAGGUCCAGAUGUAUGCUGUAUCUUGCGUAUCUCGGGUCCUCUCAAACAGCAAUACGCACAGGACCAUGGAUUGGACAUUGAUGAGCUGUAUGGGAGCAGGUGAGUACAAGGAGAAGUACCGUGCUGACAUGAUCCAGUGGGGUGAGAAGCAGUGGGAGAAGGACCCAGGGUUCUUCUGUCGUGUGGCCAUCAAGGCAGCCCACCAGCCUAUCUGGGUAAGAUAACAAAAUUCUCAAUUGACCCACUGUUAUGGAGAAACAAACAAGCCAAGUCCCGCCAUAUAUGAUUUAUGUCAAGCGCAAGUCUUUGAGUCAGGUCUUAAUUGCUAUUAGAAACUGACCAUCUGCAUAUUCAGAGUUGGUGAACAUGACAAAAAAAAAGGCCCUACCUGAUGAGCAGUUGAAGCAUCAUGGAUUGUCCUCUACCAUUAUACCUUCUCUAAUCUCUAUUGUGCCCCAGAUUGUGACACAUGACAUCUGUCAGAUCUGAAGUGGUUCUGGAGGGAGUAUCCUAGUCAGUCUCGCUGUGUUCGGGUGGAGGACUCAGAAGAGACACGGAGGGAGAGGGGCUGGGAGUUCACAACAGGUGCAAUACCUACACUGAUAGUAUUAGUGAUAUGUUCUUCACUUUCGGAGAAAUACAAUACCUCAACACCACACCCUCUCUCUCUGCAGGAAUAGAUGAUGCAGUCUGAAUGUGGGUUCGACCAAGGAGUAGUUUGAUUGGAUUACCCAUGGUAAAAUUAGUGCAAUACUGCAUUGCACACCCAUUCAACAUAAUUAAAAUGUACUAGACACAGACAUGAUCAAUGUUCUAAUAGCAGGGUAAGUGUUAGUUCAUAAAACAUUUUAAAGUAGACAUGGAGGUAGUAGCAGCACCUAAAUUGGAGUGGUAUCAAACUGAAAAAAAAACAAUACAAAAAUUGGAAUGUCAAUACAAAUCAUGGUUCUUUAUUUUUAAAAAGUGUGUCCAUUUGUGUCAUGAUUACAAUCAAAACAUUACUGGUAACAAUGUUUACACCCAUAGUGUUGAGUGAAAAGUUCCAGUUAAACUUGAUGCAAUACUUUACUUUUUAUUUCUUUAUUAAUUAUAAUGUUUGCAGUUCACUUAAUUUUCAGAAAAAAAUAGUUUAAUAGUCUAUACUGAUAAGAAGUCUAGAUAAUACCCUUGUGUCCCUUCUGCCUAUUCAUUGGCCCCUAUGCUUCCAUUUUGGCAGUGGAAUGCGUAGUGAUUGGCUGAUCACACCCCUCCCCUACAUCAUCUUAUUGGAAAAAAAAUAACAAUUAGCCUAGAGGACUAAGGCUGCAAUUGGCUAGAAUAUCUGCAUCCAAUUCUGUCUGAAGCUAUAAGACAUUUAUAUCCCUUCAAUGACCCACGACUCAUUCACAAUUCAAUUUCCUGAUCUUGGGGGGAGGGGGGUAGUAGUAAACUGGAAGUGGGAAAAAAAACACAGUUUACAGUAACUUGUGACAAUGGCCCUUUUUGGAAAAUGACUCCAGAUAAAAACAAAAACAUGUCAUGCAACUAAACAAAACACUUCUCCCUUAUAAGAAAAACAUGUUAAUCCCCCAGCCCAUAAUUGUAAAUUAACACAAAAUCCUUGACAAAAGGUAGCAUAGUUGUGGACCCUCUGGGCAUUGGCACAGUAGAAAUGCAGUGCUUGUGUAAGGAUGUUCCAGCAGAAGGUGAGUGGUUAGAGGGGGACAAGAGUUUGAGGCGAUACGUUGGUAGGGCAAGUGGUUCAGAUGGGGAUAACAGAGGGCGAG
Long non-coding RNA from Oncorhynchus nerka (sockeye salmon), 1939 nucleotides. RefSeq lists it as uncharacterized. The record is from RefSeq and is a predicted model, not a curated record. The transcript is spliced from 3 exons. NCBI's taxonomy places the organism in Eukaryota, Metazoa, Chordata, Actinopteri, Salmoniformes, Salmonidae.